This is a long non-coding RNA of Solanum stenotomum, 627 nucleotides long. RefSeq lists it as uncharacterized. The record is from RefSeq and is a predicted model, not a curated record. The transcript has 2 exons. Lineage: Eukaryota; Viridiplantae; Streptophyta; Magnoliopsida; Solanales; Solanaceae.
UUGAAGCCCCGUUUUCUUCCUAGUGUUCCCAAUUAUGUAUAAAUCCUUAGAAACUCGAUACCAGUAUGCUUGAACAACUUGGAACAGGGCCUUCUUUCCGCACUAUUACUGAUAUGUCAAUAAUGGUCAAAACAGCCUACACGAGUGACUACUGAUUCUGAAGGAACUGGAGUCACAUUUCUUUUCCAUUCAAGAGCUCUUACACGUUUUCACGACCUUUCAAGACCACGAAUAAUGGAAAAAUUUCUUUUCUUAGGAACACACACAAGAUUCGUCACUACAAAAAGGAGACAUUUUCAAGAAAAAAGAGAUAUGCAGUUUAGUGCUUGCCUUAAAAUCAGUUAAUCACUGACAGCAAAUAUGUUCCUAUGACCCUUGAUUCUAAGAUUCUCAUCAACCUUCAAUCUUCCAAAAAUAUUGAUUCGAUCCUUCAAAUACGUCUCCCUUAACCACUCUGAACCUGGUGGCUUUCCCGUGCAAAGAAAAUGGCAAUCCGCUUUGAUAGUUUCCCCAGACGACGUGAAAUAUGUUCUGUUUCCACCCGAGUUGUUUGUGUUAUUACUCAAAUCAACAGAUUGCAUCAAUUUCACUUCCACAUUCUUGUUUUUCAACCAUUCUAAAGUCUUG